GUCUUUAAGAUAUUAAUUUAAAGUCUAAUCUGCCCACUGAAUAAUUUUUAAAUGGCUGCAGAAUUUUUACUGUACUAAGGUAGCAUAAUAAUUUGUUUUUUAAUUAAAAACUUGAAUGAAAGAUUAAAUGAAAUAUAAACUGUUUCAAUUAAAUACAUAUAUUAAAUUUUUUAUUUAAGUAAAAAAACUUAAAUAAAAUUUAAAGACGACAAGACCCUAUAGAAUUUUAUUUAUAAUUUUUUAUUUAAAUCAUUAUAAAUUUUAUUGGGGUAAUAAAAAAAUUAAACUAAUUUUUUUUUUAAAAAACAUAAAUUUAUGAAUUAAAAAUCUUAAUUUUUAAAUUAAAAAAAUUAAUUACCUUAGGGAUAACAGCAUAAUUUUUUUUAAAAGAUCUUAUUAAUAAAAAAGAUUAU
This 413-nucleotide ribosomal RNA is filed under the name Vipio rugator. RNAcentral's name for it is "partial 16S ribosomal RNA". The record is from RNAcentral. Lineage: Eukaryota; Metazoa; Arthropoda; Insecta; Hymenoptera; Braconidae.